Molecule: ribosomal RNA, 451 nt
Filed under: uncultured bacterium
Lineage: Bacteria
Description: partial 16S ribosomal RNA
Rfam family: Bacterial small subunit ribosomal RNA
Source: RNAcentral
AACGAACGCUGGCGGCAGGCUUAACACAUGCAAGUCGAACGGAUGUAGCAAUACAGCAGUGGCAGACGGGUGAGUAACACGUGGGAACCUUCCUAGGGGUACGGAACAACUCAGGGAAACUUGAGCUAAUACCGUAUACGUCCGUGAGGAGGAAGAUUUAUCGCCCUUAGACGGGCCCGCGUCGGAUUAGCUAGUUGGUGGGGUAACGGCCUACCAAGGCGACGAUCCGUAGCUGAUCUUAGAGGAUGAUCAGCCACACUGGGACUGAGCCACGGCCCAAACUCCUACGGGAGGCACCAGUGCGGAAUCUUGAACAAUGGGCGCAAGCCUGAUCCAGCCAUGCCGCGUGAGUGAAGAGAGUCUUCGGAUUGUAAAGCUCUUUUGCCAGGGACGAUAAUGACGGUACCUGGAGAAUAAGCCCCGGCAAACUUCGUGCCAGCCGCCGCCGUAA